RNAcentral lists this RNase P RNA (186 nucleotides) under Enterococcus sp. RNAcentral describes it as "partial RNase P RNA component class B". It matches the Rfam family "Bacterial RNase P class B", at positions 1 to 183 of the family's 365-position model. Rfam says of the family: Ribonuclease P (RNase P) is a ubiquitous endoribonuclease, found in archaea, bacteria and eukarya as well as chloroplasts and mitochondria. Its best characterised activity is the generation of mature 5'-ends of tRNAs by cleaving the 5'-leader elements of precursor-tRNAs. Cellular RNase Ps are ribonucleoproteins. The record is from RNAcentral. Lineage: Bacteria; Bacillati; Bacillota; Bacilli; Lactobacillales; Enterococcaceae.
GUUUUCGGGUAAUCGCGGUCUGACUUGAUCAGGCUGAGGAAAGUCCAUGCUCGCACAGACUGUGAUGUCUGUAGUGUUCGUGCUUAGCGAAAAAAUAAGCUAAGGUACUCUUUCGGGAGUAACGGCAGGAAAACGAGCUAAGGUCAUAUGACUAUGCUUUAGUAUCCUUGAAAGUGCCACAGUGAC